CCCUUAGAUGUUCUGGGCCGCACACGCGCUACACUGAAGGAGGCAGCGUGUACUCCUGGAUCGAAAGAUUUGGGUAACCCGCGAAUCUCCUUCGUGCUAGGGAUUGAGGUUUGCAAUUAUCCUUCAUGAACGAGGAAUUCCCAGUAAGUGCAAGUCAUAAGCUUGCGCUGACUACGUACCUGCCCUUUGUACACACCGCCCGUCGCUACUACCGAUUGAAUGAUUUAGUGAGGACUUCGGACUGGGACCGAUGCGGCUUUCGGGCUGCGUCGGUAUUCUGGAAAGAUGUCCAAACUGUAUCAUUUAGAGGAAGUAAAANUCGUAACA
Molecule: ribosomal RNA, 327 nt
Filed under: uncultured eukaryote
Lineage: Eukaryota
Description: partial 18S ribosomal RNA
Rfam family: Eukaryotic small subunit ribosomal RNA
Source: RNAcentral